AGAAUAUUAGAAAAGACCGAAAAAGUAGUAAAAGAAGAAGCUCUGAAGAGUCAGGUAAAUUUCAACAACACUUCUGAGUCAAGAUAUAUUGUAGAAGAAAAAGGUCAAAAUACUUUCAACAGAGGAAGAGGAAAUUAUAGAGGCAGAGGCCGAGGAAAUUAUGGAGGAAGAGGACAUGGCAACUUUAACCAAUGGAGAGACAAUAAUUUCAAUUCAUCCAAU
RNAcentral lists this long non-coding RNA (222 nucleotides) under Lathyrus oleraceus (garden pea). Its description in RNAcentral is "Pisum sativum (pea) long non-coding RNA (PSAT_LNC014958)". Lineage: Eukaryota; Viridiplantae; Streptophyta; Magnoliopsida; Fabales; Fabaceae. The record is from RNAcentral.